RNAcentral lists this RNase P RNA (445 nucleotides) under Alphaproteobacteria bacterium. RNAcentral's name for it is "RNase P RNA component class A". It matches the Rfam family "Bacterial RNase P class A". Rfam says of the family: Ribonuclease P (RNase P) is a ubiquitous endoribonuclease, found in archaea, bacteria and eukarya as well as chloroplasts and mitochondria. Its best characterised activity is the generation of mature 5'-ends of tRNAs by cleaving the 5'-leader elements of precursor-tRNAs. Lineage: Bacteria; Pseudomonadati; Pseudomonadota; Alphaproteobacteria. The record is from RNAcentral.
CCAGACGGUUGGAGGAUCGCUCCCGUCGCAGUAACCUGCGGCGGCGAGAGGAAAGUCCGGGCUCCAGAAAGACAGGGUGCCGGGUAACGCCCGGCGAGGGUGACCUUAGGGAAAGUGCCACAGAAAGCAAACCGCCGCUCCCAACCCGCUUUGGCGGAAUUGGCGAACGGUAAGGGUGAAAGGGUGCGGUAAGAGCGCACCGCGGCCUGGGCAACCAGGUCGGCACGGUAAACCCCACCCGGAGCAAGACCGAAUAGGAGUGACAGCCAUGGUCUCAUCUCUCCCGGUGUGGUGGGAUUAAUGGCAGCGGGUCUUUCCGCCGUUACUCGGGUUGGUCGCGUCAGGCGAAGGGUAACCUUCGUCGCAGAGGAAUGAUUCUCGACGGUGGUCGCUGCGGGUCAAGGGACUACCGAGACAGAACCCGGCUUAUAGACCGUCUGGCGAC